Molecule: small nuclear RNA, 100 nt
Organism: Panicum virgatum (switchgrass)
Lineage: Eukaryota; Viridiplantae; Streptophyta; Magnoliopsida; Poales; Poaceae
Source: RefSeq, a predicted model, not a curated record
GUCUCUUUGGGAACAUUCUUUAUUAGAAUAAUACAGAGAAAAUUAGCAUGAUUCCUGCACAAGGAUGACAUGUACACAACGAGAAAUGGCCCACUUUUUU